RNAcentral lists this ribosomal RNA (303 nucleotides) under Triticum aestivum (bread wheat). RNAcentral's name for it is "partial small subunit ribosomal RNA". The record is from RNAcentral. Lineage: Eukaryota; Viridiplantae; Streptophyta; Magnoliopsida; Poales; Poaceae.
AUGCCCCCUUGGGAGCGUUUUCGCGAGCUAUGCCUCCUUCGCUUUGGGCCGCCGAUCUGCGGGAGCCGACUGGCGGAGCUCGGCCGCCUUCCCUUCACCUCCACGGUGCAGGACUUCGCCGACCGUUUCCAGGCCCUGGCAUGCCACGCGCCGGGUGUGAUGGCGCAGCAGCGAGCCGAGCUCUUCCUCGGCAGUCUUUCGGAUCACAUCCGCGUGGACGUGGAGCUGCGGGGACCCCAGGACCUCCAGACGGUCAUGUACUACGCUCGCGCCUUCGAACGUCGCGCGCAUGCCUUGCAGUAG